GACGAACGCUGGCGGCGUGCCUAAUACAUGCAAGUAGAACGCUGAAGGAGGAGCUUGCUCUUCUGGAUGAGUUGCGAACGGGUGAGUAACGCGUGGGUAACCUGCCUGGUAGCGGGGGAUAACUAUUGGAAACGAUAGCUAAUACCGCAUAACAGUAGAUAUUGCAUGAUAUCUGCUUGAAAGGUGCAAUUGCAUCACUACCAGAUGGACCUGCGUUGUAUUAGCUAGUUGGUGAGGUAACGGCUCACCAAGGCGACGAUACAUAGCCGACCUGAGAGGGUGAUCGGCCACACUGGGACUGAGACACGGCCCAGACUCCUACGGGAGGCAGCAGUAGGGAAUCUUCGGCAAUGGACGGAAGUCUGACCGAGCAACGCCGCGUGAGUGAAGAAGGUUUUCGGAUCGUAAAGCUCUGUUGUAAGAGAAGAACGAGUGUGAGAGUGGAAAGUUCACACUGUGACGGUAUCUUACCAGAAAGGGACGGCUAACUACGUGCCAGCAGCCGCGGUAAUACGUAGGUCCCGAGCGUUGUCCGGAUUUAUUGGGCGUAAAGCGAGCGCAGGCGGUUAGAUAAGUCUGAAGUUAAAGGCUGUGGCUUAACCAUAGUACGCUUUGGAAACUGUUUAACUUGAGUGCAAGAGGGGAGAGUGGAAUUCCAUGUGUAGCGGUGAAAUGCGUAGAUAUAUGGAGGAACACCGGUGGCGAAAGCGGCUCUCUGGCUUGUAACUGACGCUGAGGCUCGAAAGCGUGGGGAGCAAACAGG
Molecule: ribosomal RNA, 763 nt
Filed under: uncultured Streptococcus sp.
Lineage: Bacteria; Bacillati; Bacillota; Bacilli; Lactobacillales; Streptococcaceae
Description: bacterial SSU rRNA
Rfam family: Bacterial small subunit ribosomal RNA
Source: RNAcentral